CCUACGGGAGGCAGCAGUGAGGAAUAUUGGUCAAUGGGCGCGAGCCUGAACCAGCCAAGUAGCGUGAAGGAUGACUGCCCUACGGGUUGUAAACUUCUUUUAUAAAGGAAUAAAGUGAGGCACGUGUGCCUUUUUGUAUGUACUUUAUGAAUAAGGCUCGGCUAACUCCGUGCCCGCAGCCGCGGUAAUUCGGAGGAUCCGAGCGGUAGCCGGAUUUUAUGGGUUUAAAGGGAGCGUAGAUGGGUUGUUAAGUCAGUUGUGAAAGUUUGGGGCUCCAACGUCAGAUUGCAAUUGAUACUGGCGUUCUUGAGUGCAGGUGAGGUAGGCGGAAUGCGUGGUGUAGCGGUGAAAUGCUUAGAUAUCACGAAGAACUCCGAUUGCGAAGGCAGCUUACUAAACUGCCACUGACAUUGAUGCUCGAAAGUGUGGGUAUCAAACAGGAUUAGAUACCCUAGUAGUC
Molecule: ribosomal RNA, 460 nt
Filed under: uncultured bacterium
Lineage: Bacteria
Description: partial 16S ribosomal RNA
Rfam family: Bacterial small subunit ribosomal RNA
Source: RNAcentral